Long non-coding RNA from Dipodomys spectabilis (banner-tailed kangaroo rat), 97 nucleotides. RefSeq lists it as uncharacterized. The record is from RefSeq and is a predicted model, not a curated record. The transcript has 3 exons. NCBI's taxonomy places the organism in Eukaryota, Metazoa, Chordata, Mammalia, Rodentia, Heteromyidae.
AAAAAAAAACCUCAUGAUACAUUCUUGCCAAAUGCAACCACAACCCUUGAGGGUCUCCCUUUUAUCCUGAGUAGAGGGAAGGCAGGAGAAACACCUC